ACUCAAAGGAAUUGACGGGGACCCGCACAAGCGGUGGAGCAUGUGGUUUAAUUCGAUACUAACCGAAGAACCUUACCCAGGUUUGACAUCGAUCGCAAGGUCCCGAAAAGGACCCCUCCCCCACAAGGGGACGUGAAGACAGAUGUUGCAUGGCUGUCGUCAGCUCGUGCCGUGAGGUGUACGGUUAAGUCCGCCAACGAGCGCAACCCACGUUUUGUGUUACCAGCGAGUAAAGUCGGGGACUCACAAGAGACCGCCGGUGUAAGCCGGAGGAAGGUGUGGAUGACGUCAAGUCAGCAUGGCUCUUACGCCUGGGGCUACACACAUGCUACAAUGGGCGCAACAAAGGGCAGCGAUACCGCGAGGUGGAGCCAAUCCCAAAAAUACGCCCUCAGUUCAGAUUGCAGUCUGCAACUCGACUGCAUAAAGUCGGAAUCGCUAGUAAACGCAGGUCAGCUAUACUGCGUUGAAUACGUUCCCGGGUCUUGUACACACCGCCCGU
Molecule: ribosomal RNA, 502 nt
Filed under: uncultured bacterium
Lineage: Bacteria
Description: partial 16S ribosomal RNA
Rfam family: Bacterial small subunit ribosomal RNA
Source: RNAcentral